AUUGAACGCUGGCGGCAGGCCUAACACAUGCAAGUCGAACGGUAACAGGAAGAAGCUUGCUUCUUUGCUGACGAGUGGCGGACGGGUGAGUAAUGUCUGGGAAACUGCCUGAUGGAGGGGGAUAACUACUGGAAACGGUAGCUAAUACCGCAUAACGUCGCAAGACCAAAAAGGGGGACCUUCGGGCCUCUUGCCAUCGGAUGUGCCCAGAUGGGAUUAGCUAGUAGGUGGGGUAACGGCUCACCUAGGCGACGAUCCCUAGCUGGUCUGAGAGGAUGACCAGCCACACUGGAACUGAGACACGGUCCAGACUCCUACGGGAGGCAGCAGUGGGGAAUAAUGCACAAUGGGCGCAAGCCUGAUGCAGCCAUGCCGCGUGUAUGAAGAAGGCCUUCGGGUUGUAAAGUACUUUCAGCGGGGAGGAAGGGAGUAAAGUUAAUACCUUUGCUCAUUGACGUUACCCGCAGAAGAAGCACCGGCUAACUCCGUG
Molecule: ribosomal RNA, 490 nt
Filed under: uncultured bacterium
Lineage: Bacteria
Description: partial 16S ribosomal RNA
Rfam family: Bacterial small subunit ribosomal RNA
Source: RNAcentral